Long non-coding RNA from Vidua chalybeata, 357 nucleotides. RefSeq lists it as uncharacterized. The record is from RefSeq and is a predicted model, not a curated record. Lineage: Eukaryota; Metazoa; Chordata; Aves; Passeriformes; Viduidae. The transcript has 2 exons.
CGUGUCCGCGCGGAAAAACGGGCGAAUCGGUAAAAUGGAGAGAGAAAGGAAAUGUGUGAAUAGGUAAAAUGCCGCUCAUGUCGCGCAGGUGUGGAAUAGAACGGGUUUGCGUUGGAGGGGACUUUAAAUAUCAUCUCCAGCCUGGCCUUGGACGCUUCCAGGGAUCCAGGGGCAGCCACAGCUUCUCUGGGAAAUGUGUCCCUGUGCCUCACCGUCAUCACACCCUGCUUUUCCAAGGAACUGGGUCUUUUGUCUAUCUUGUGCAUCUGAACAUGGCCCUGAAUAAAAGCCUCGCUGAGAUUCAUCCCCAGAAGCAUCUAGAAGGCAGCAGAAAAAUAAAGAGUCCAGUUUGUGACA